CACACAACUUUCAACAACGGAUCUCUUGGUUCUGCGCAUCGAUGAAGAACGCAGCGAAAUGCGAUAAGUAGUGUGAAUUCGCAGAAUUCAGUGAAUCAUCGAAUCUUUGAACGCACAUUGCCGCCUUCGGUAUUCCGUUGGGCAUGCCUGUUCGAGCGUCA
This 161-nucleotide ribosomal RNA is filed under the name Colispora elongata. RNAcentral's name for it is "5.8S ribosomal RNA". It matches the Rfam family "5.8S ribosomal RNA". From Rfam's summary of the family: 5.8S ribosomal RNA (5.8S rRNA) is a component of the large subunit of the eukaryotic ribosome. It is transcribed by RNA polymerase I as part of the 45S precursor that also contains 18S and 28S rRNA. Functionally, it is thought that 5.8S rRNA may be involved in ribosome translocation. Lineage: Eukaryota; Fungi; Ascomycota. The record is from RNAcentral.